CGAUGUGAGGCGGGCGAGCCGGCCACCGUGCGCGGGAUCGGAGAGGGCACACGGGCGAAGGCGGGCAGCUGACCGAGGAGCGCCCGGGAACGGACUUGGGACACCCCCUCCAAGGGAAGAAAUGAGGUAGCGGCAGUCGCCGGAGCCGGCGAUGCGCGCGCCCAGCCCUCGGAGCCCAGCACUGCCCCAGCGGAACGGGCCGGGACAGUGAGCCGGCGAGCGCGAGUUGCCGGCGGGGGUGCGGGCGUGCUGCGGGGAGCCGCAGAGGAUGCGGUGAGCCACGGCGGCGCUGCUGCGCGGGGCCCGCCCGACCCACCACCGGAUUGCACCUGGGGCUAAGCUGCGGAUUCGGGGACCGGCCCAGCACCCCUGGGGGGGGGGGGCGGGGAGCUCUUGGACGCUCUGCGAGAGUUCCCGCGGCUGUUGGCCCCAGGCCCAGGGGUUGUGAGUGUGUGAGCAUCCCCCAUCCCCCGCCCGGCGCUCACGAUCGCCGCCGAAGAGUUCUGCAUAUUCUCGCCCCAUUCUGGAUGCUCCUGCUGCGACCCUUCUAUUUAUUUGUACGUGCCCAUCUAGCUUAUUCCUAAAACAUUUUCCGAUCCACUCCCCUUCCCUCGGUUGUGCUGCUUGCCUGAGACUUUAGCUUUGGUCCUUGCUCAGGCUGGGGUAGGGGUGUGUGUGUGUGCGCCCAGGCUUUCCCUC
Perognathus longimembris pacificus (Pacific pocket mouse) is the source of this 699-nucleotide long non-coding RNA. RefSeq lists it as uncharacterized. The transcript has 3 exons. The record is from RefSeq and is a predicted model, not a curated record. NCBI's taxonomy places the organism in Eukaryota, Metazoa, Chordata, Mammalia, Rodentia, Heteromyidae.